This 232-nucleotide long non-coding RNA is filed under the name Rattus norvegicus (Norway rat). RNAcentral describes it as "long non-coding RNA NONRATT032051". The record is from RNAcentral. Lineage: Eukaryota; Metazoa; Chordata; Mammalia; Rodentia; Muridae.
GUUGCUGUGGGGAUUGUAGUUCGUCCCGUUUGGGCCUGCUGUGGGACUUUUCCCGUCAGCUCCCUGAUCCACCCCAGUGGGGACACGCUCAGGCGACACUCCUGUCCCGUGCUCCCGCCCUCUUGCCUUUCAUUCCAGCCGACAAGACCUUGGAAGGCCCUCUUUAGAAGACACAGCUGCACCAAAGAGCAAGUCACUUUGAAGUUACGAAUCUGAGUAAGGCCUUCCGCUU